This 1361-nucleotide ribosomal RNA is filed under the name uncultured bacterium. RNAcentral describes it as "bacterial SSU rRNA". It matches the Rfam family "Bacterial small subunit ribosomal RNA", at positions 28 to 1381 of the family's 1533-position model. The record is from RNAcentral.
AUUGAACGCUGGCGGCAGGCCUAACACAUGCAAGUCGAGCGGUAGCACAGAGAGCUUGCUCUCGGGUGACGAGCGGCGGACGGGUGAGUAAUGUCUGGGAAACUGCCUGAUGGAGGGGGAUAACUACUGGAAACGGUAGCUAAUACCGCAUAACGUCGCAAGACCAAAGUGGGGGACCUUCGGGCCUCAUGCCAUCAGAUGUGCCCAGAUGGGAUUAGCUAGUAGGUGGGGUAAUGGCUCACCUAGGCGACGAUCCCUAGCUGGUCUGAGAGGAUGACCAGCCACACUGGAACUGAGACACGGUCCAGACUCCUACGGGAGGCAGCAGUGGGGAAUAUUGCACAAUGGGCGCAAGCCUGAUGCAGCCAUGCCGCGUGUGUGAAGAAGGCCUUCGGGUUGUAAAGCACUUUCAGCGGGGAGGAAGGCGGUGAGGUUAAUAACCUCAUCGAUUGACGUUACCCGCAGAAGAAGCACCGGCUAACUCCGUGCCAGCAGCCGCGGUAAUACGGAGGGUGCAAGCGGUUAUCGGAAUUACUGGGCGUAAAGCGCACGCAGGCGGUCUGGUCAGUCGGAUGUGAAAUCCCCGGGCUCAACCUGGGAACUGCAUUCGAAACUGGCAGGCUAGAGUCUUGUAGAGGGGGGUAGAAUUCCAGGUGUAGCGGUGAAAUGCGUAGAGAUCUGGAGGAAUACCGGUGGCGAAGGCGGCCCCCUGGACAAAGACUGACGCUCAGGUGCGAAAGCGUGGGGAGCAAACAGGAUUAGAUACCCUGGUAGUCCACGCCGUAAACGAUGUCGAUUUGGAGGUUGUGCCCUUGAGGCGUGGCUUCCGGAGCUAACGCGUUAAAUCGACCGCCUGGGGAGUACGGCCGCAAGGUUAAAACUCAAAUGAAUUGACGGGGGCCCGCACAAGCGGUGGAGCAUGUGGUUUAAUUCGAUGCAACGCGAAGAACCUUACCUGGUCUUGACAUCCACAGAACUUUCCAGAGAUGGAUUGGUGCCUUCGGGAACUGUGAGACAGGUGCUGCAUGGCUGUCGUCAGCUCGUGUUGUGAAAUGUUGGGUUAAGUCCCGCAACGAGCGCAACCCUUAUCCUUCGUUGCCAGCGGUCCGGCCGGGAACUCAAAGGAGACUGCCAGUGAUAAACUGGAGGAAGGUGGGGAUGACGUCAAGUCAUCAUGGCCCUUACGACCAGGGCUACACACGUGCUACAAUGGCAUAUACAAAGAGAAGCGACCUCGCGAGAGCAAGCGGACCUCAUAAAGUAUGUCGUAGUCCGGAUUGGAGUCUGCAACUCGACUCCAUGAAGUCGGAAUCGCUAGUAAUCGUAGAUCAGAAUGCUACGGUGAAUACGUUCCCGGGCCU